Molecule: long non-coding RNA, 717 nt
Filed under: Cyanistes caeruleus (blue tit)
Lineage: Eukaryota; Metazoa; Chordata; Aves; Passeriformes; Paridae
Description: lncRNA (ENSCCEG00000004339.1)
Source: RNAcentral
CCCAAAACGAGACAGAAAGAGCAAAAUCCUUCCUGUGGUGGAGCUGCUGUGGGAGGAGAGCUCUUGCCUUCUGGAAGAGGAAGCAACCUUUGCAGCUGUGAAACCUGAGAGAACAAUGGAGGUUGUGUAGACCAGAAGUUACAGGGGGCUGCUCUCAGGGCUUGAUGCCAGAGAUGUCCCACAGCAGCAAUCUUUUCUCUGUAAUAAAUUCUAAACUUCUCUUGACCUUAUUGCUGCAUUCUGGGCUGAAAUACAUCUGAACAACUGAUGGGAGGUACCCCAUAUCUUAAAAUUUGUGGGUAUAUACCGAAUGUCAGCAGAACUGUUCUUGACAAAACCAAAAUGUAACUGAAAGCAUUUUCCUCUUGUUUCCAGGCUGAAUUUGAACUCAGCUUUUUAUUCCUGCCUUAGCCAUGCAGUGGAAGAACAUCUCAUACCACACCCUCCAUCUUGCUGUUGUGAAUUAAGUUGCUUUUUCAAGUGGUUCCUCACAUGCAGAUAUGUGCAAAAAUUGGAACUGAAUUAUUACUUUGUCCUCAGAGAAUUAAAACCUUUAAAAAUGCCUGCUUCUUGCCAAAUGAGACGUAAGAUCCUGAUUUACACCAUCAGUUUUCUAUACAUUGCAAGACAAAGAUGUGAUGAAUGCUGCCUGUGUCUUCAGAGCACAGACAAAUGCUGAGGAAUAAAAUGAAGUUAGAUUGACUAAAUGAGAUGAUU